This 393-nucleotide ribosomal RNA is filed under the name uncultured bacterium. RNAcentral's name for it is "partial 16S ribosomal RNA". It matches the Rfam family "Bacterial small subunit ribosomal RNA", at positions 523 to 918 of the family's 1533-position model. The record is from RNAcentral.
AUACGGAGGAUGCGAGCGUUAUCCGGAUUUAUUGGGUUUAAAGGGAGCGUAGGUGGGAUAUUAAGUCAGCUGUGAAAGUUUGCGGCUCAACCGUAAAAUUGCAGUUGAUACUGGCUGUCUUGAGUACAGUAGAGGUGGGCGGAAUUCGUGGGGUAGCGGUGAAAUGCUUAGAUAUCACGAAGAACUCCGAUUGCGAAGGCAGCUCACUGGACUGCAACUGACACUGAUGCUCGAAAGUGUGGGUAUCAAACAGGAUUAGAUACCCUGGUAGUCCACACAGUAAACGAUGAAUACUCGCUGUUUGCGAUAUACAGUAAGCGGCCAAGCGAAAGCAUUAAGUAUUCCACCUGGGGAGUACGCCGGCAACGGUGAAACUUAAAGGAAUUGACGGGG